AUGUACCGGGCGCAGCGCUACCGGGGUCGUGAUAUCUCCUUUGACAACCAUACCGUGGGUUUAGACUUGCUCCCGAAGCUGCUGGAUGACAAAGGCAUCCCUCAGCCCACCUUGGAAAGGAUCCACAUUGGUCAUCCUACCCUCAGCUUGCUCGAGGAUCACAUUGCCUACUUCAUGACCAAGGUCGACCACCUCCAGGGCUCUGAGGCAUGGGUGAUUGCUGUUGACAUGAAGAACAAGGUGCUGCGAGGAGUGUCCAACUUUGAUGGCGCAACAAGAAACCGCUGCAUGACUGAAGCCUAUAUGCACAGUAGCAUAUCUGGGCAUCUCAACAAUGCCCUAGGCACCAGGGUUCACCUUAAACGACCGGGGAUUCAAAUGCCGGAAUGGUGUACCAAGAAGGUCCAUCUGAUGGGUCAUGUGGGGGCCGAGUUAAUCGGUGGAUGCUCAAGUCAAACAGCUGAUGAUUACGGAGAGGAUACCAAGAACUUGGAUCAGAAUAGUUAA
RNAcentral lists this ribosomal RNA (507 nucleotides) under Triticum aestivum (bread wheat). Its description in RNAcentral is "partial small subunit ribosomal RNA". The record is from RNAcentral. Lineage: Eukaryota; Viridiplantae; Streptophyta; Magnoliopsida; Poales; Poaceae.